CAUAACUAAUAAUAGCUUUAUUGUAUGCACAUAAUGAAAGGGGGAUCAUUACUUUUGGGGUCACUACUAUCGUCUGAUCAUAAAUGAUGUCGAACAGGGGAAACUAGGGGCGAAUUAAUCGCUAUGUCGCAUCACCAAAGUCAGAAUUCAAUUACUUUAUGUCCAGGUCGACAAGGACGCUUUGCUCACUUGGAGCCAGACAUAAGGCGAUCUACAGUCGAGAGAAGAGAAUGUACACGCUGUGUACUAUUAGGAGUUACUGGCUUGGCCAUACUUCUGAGUAUGUUUGCAUGUGUAGUUUUAAUAAUCGUUAAUAUCAACCUACCCGAAAAUCAAGAUGAUUGAAAAAUUUGUUUUAACACCACUGACCUGAAACUCUCCCCAUUUCGAGACCAAGAAAGUGACAUUGAAAAGUUAAGUAAAGAGGUGAGAGAUGACCAAUUUUUGUAUUGUGCCAGCACUCCACAACAAAUGCAGAUAAUACUGAAGUGGGUUAUUGAUAACAAGACAAAAACUUAUGUGGAUAAAUAUUAUGACAAAUUGACGGACACUUUAUUGGAGGGGAAUGCUGUCAGUGCGCAUGUGUUAAUAGCUUCUGGUAAUUCACCAGCAUACAACAACAAUACAACAGCACAACUGAUGCAAAAGAAGUCACUAUCUCACUCUAAUGGAAUUAACAUUGGUCCACAUAGAGUUGUCAUCAAAACUAAGGGGACCUACUUUUUGUAUAGUCAAAUUUAUUUCCAACUUAUUCAUGAUUUUCAUUACCAUAUGAACAAAAGCGUUACAUUAUCCCAUAAAGUCGUCCGAUUUCGACAACGGUCUCCGGAACAUAACGCUCAAAAGGAACUUCUUCAGAACUACCAACAAACAUUCAUCAAGCAUAAUGAAACGUACAGGCGAAGCAGCUUCGUUUCCGGUACUUUUGAAAUGAUUGCAGGAGAUGAGAUUGGCGUCACGGUGACCAAUCUGAGUUACAUAGCGCGUAUACCCGUAACAAAUUUCAUAGGCCUCUUUUUACUCGGAAACGGUGCGUGAAUACAAUCAAAAUGCAUUACAAAUGUUCCUGGAUUCUAUUCCAGUAGAUAGGAGCAUAUUCCCAAAAUAUUCCUGGAAUUCCAUUCUAAAACAUAAAUGGAUAUUUCCCAAAUUUCUUAAUAUACUUCCCACAUGUUGGUUAUCCUUUUGAUCUUCUCUUUUUUUUAUUUCCUACUGGAAAAGUUGUUUCAAUUUGAUGAUACAUUUUUUUUAUCUGUCUAUGUAAAAUUAAAGUGUAUCCCAUAAUUGUUAAUAUGUAUCAAGAAAUGACCAGAACAUCAUCUAACCACAUUAUUCAUCUUCUAACCAUAUUGUUGAUCUUACUGAAUUUCACCACAUUACAUAAUAUGCUAAUAUAGGUAAGUAGAUCAAAUGCCCACAUAGACGAGGGGGUGUCAGUCGACAUAAUGUCUCCACCUGCAGCAAAAUCGUCCGUGCUAGCUCUAAAAUCAAUGUCAACAAAUCCCACUGGAUGGGUUUUUAAAACAAAACAACACCCUGAAUUAAAUAUCCGUCAUGACAUGACGAAGGUGUUGGUGGGCUUAUGUUACUUUGUCUGGGAAACCAAACUGUUUGUAUUAAUUUUUGGGGUACAGCUUUGGUGGCUGGGAGUUGGGAAGGGUAAGGGUGUAAAUGCUGGAAAACCCCAGCGUCAAAAUUGUGUUUGAUAAUAUUGAGUCGCUAUAAAUUCUGUAUCAACCUGAGCAGAAUGCAUCCUCGGUAUCACCAGUGGUCUCAUUCCGUUCUACUCCACUAUACCCUGAGUUAUUCCAUAGGGUUUCCACGAUUUCAAAUUAUCUGCGCUGGCCUUGAUUGUAGCUAAAGUCUGCGAACCAAUCAAAAUACAGUUUACAAACCAGUCGUUUCGCGUUCGUUUUUAUAAGGGUAGAUAACCAUAUUCAUGUCCAUUUACUGACUGAUUUAUGUAAAUAAUGUAUAUAUUUUUAAUUCAUUUAUAUUUAAUUAAUAUACUAAUAUACUACAAUUAUACUUUGUUGUUAAUAAAUACGCAUUUAGUAUAAUUUCGAAUUCUCUCAUUGAGGCUACCUUCUGGCUAACUCCUAACCCUUUCUCUUAAAGGAGAGCCAUUGAGUUUUGCUUACUUUACCCAAUAAGAGUUACUUCCCUUUGGCAACUUCCUUUGCAAUUAACGAAUUAUGGGAUUGGUCGAUAAAAAUAGCACAAUCAUCACGGGCGGAUAACUUGAAAACGUGCCCUUCCACCCGAUUAACCCAAGGGUUAGUGGAGUGAAACGGGAUGAGACCACUGGGGAUACAAAGGAUGAGCAGAAUGGUAAGGGUUAUGGAAAACCCCAGCGUUAAAACUGACGUUGCGAAGUCUCCAGAGUAGCAUACAUAUAGUAACCUUAUUAAUAUUUUAAUAUCGAAUUAUUGUGUAUUGACAAGGUUUUAUCUAACAUGAAAACAGGGUUAUUGAAAUGUUACCACAAUUAUUACCUUAAAUUAUAUUGUAUGUUAAAUUUAUAGUGUCAUACAUUAUAUUAUAAUAAUACAAGCAAAUAAUUUAUGUCAUCACCAGUUGCAGAUUACUAUGUCGGACCUGCGCCAGGGCGCCUCAGAAACUUAAUUUAAAUUUAAUUAUAUAAAUUAUAUUAAAAAGAAAUUGAACUAAAAUAUAUUAAACUAAAAUUAUUUAUCUUAUAA
Molecule: long non-coding RNA, 2702 nt
Organism: Patella vulgata (common limpet)
Lineage: Eukaryota; Metazoa; Mollusca; Gastropoda; Patellidae
Exons: 5
Source: RefSeq, a predicted model, not a curated record